CGGUUGAUCCUGCCAGUAGUCAUAUGCUUGUCUCAAAGAUUAAGCCAUGCAUGUCUAAGUAUAAACAAGUUUGUACUGUGAAACUGCGAAUGGCUCAUUAAAUCAGUUAUAGUUUAUUUGAUGAUGACUUUCUACAUGGAUAACUGUGGAAAACUAGAGCUAAUACAUGCAACUAAAGCCCCGACUUCUGGGAGGGGUGUAUUUAUUAGAUAAAAAACCAACGCGGCUCGCCGCUCGUUUGGUGAUUCAUAAUAACUUUUCGAAUCGCAUGGCCUUGUGCUGGCGAUGCUUCAUUCAAAUAUCUGCCCUAUCAACUUUCGAUGGUAGGAUAGUGGCCUACCAUGGUUUCAACGGGUAACGGGGAAUAAGGGUUCGAUUCCGGAGAGGGAGCCUGAGAAACGGCUACCACAUCCAUGGAAGGCAGCAGGCGCGCAAAUUACCCAAUCCCGACACGGGGAGGUAGUGACAAUAAAUAACGAUAUAGGGCUCUUUAGGGUCUUAUAAUUGGAAUGAGUACAAUUCAAAUCUCUUAACGAGGAACAAUUGGAGGGCAAGUCUGGU
Molecule: ribosomal RNA, 561 nt
Filed under: uncultured eukaryote
Lineage: Eukaryota
Description: SSU rRNA
Rfam family: Eukaryotic small subunit ribosomal RNA
Source: RNAcentral